UCAGUUUGAUUCUAGCUGAAAAUUUAGCUGUUAUGAACCAAUAUACAUGUAAGCCCCCGCUAUCCCGCAAAAAACGCAAACCUAAAUGAGCAUAAAUUUACAUCAAGAAAACUAUACGUAAAAGUGCGCCACAGUAAUUAAUACUAGUGAUUCUGCAAAAGCAAGAACUGGAUAUCAGAUUAAGAGUUGGCAAAACUCGUGCCAGCUGCCGCGGUUAGACGACGAACUCAAGCUAAUUUAUAAUUGACUAAAUGUAAGGUGGGUUAAACAGCACCCAAGGUCUAAUUUAUAAAACCUGAGAUUCAUACCCACCUAAAUGAUCAUGAAACCAUAAAUUAAAACACGGAUUAGAUACCCGUUUAUUCAUGGAAUAAAUAAUAGUCGAAAAAUACGAACAACAGUUUAAAACUUAAAGACUUUGGCGGUGUCUUAUCGAACCAGGGGAACCUGUCUCAUAACUCGAUAAUCCACGAUCACCCUACCUUCUCUAGAUUAGACCAGCUUGUGUACUGCCGUCGUAAGCACACCUCUAAAAGUAGCAAGUAUGCAAUUAUGACGAUACUCAUUUACGUCAGGUCAAAGUGCAGCUCAUGAGAAGGUGAUGAUGGGUUACAUCCUAAAUAAAGAUACGAAAUACGACAUUAAAAGUCAUAUAAAGGUGGACUUGGACGUAAUAAUAAUACCGCAUCAUAAUGAAAACGAAUCUAAGACAUGCACACAUCGCCCGUCACUCUUGCCCAAAGGCGAGAUAAGUCGUAACAAAGUAGGUGUAACGGAAGUUGCACCUGU
RNAcentral lists this non-coding RNA (789 nucleotides) under Aporrectodea rosea. Lineage: Eukaryota; Metazoa; Annelida; Clitellata; Crassiclitellata; Lumbricidae. The record is from RNAcentral.